AAGUGAAAUGAUGGCAAAUCAUCUUUCGGGACUGACCUGAAAUGAAGAGAAUACUCUCUGCUGAUCACUU
Small nucleolar RNA from Arvicanthis niloticus (Nile rat), 70 nucleotides. RefSeq annotates it as small nucleolar RNA SNORD2. The record is from RefSeq and is a predicted model, not a curated record. Lineage: Eukaryota; Metazoa; Chordata; Mammalia; Rodentia; Muridae.